GAAAUGCGAUAACUAAUGUGAAUUGCAGAAUUCAGUGAAUCAUCGAGUCUUUGAACGCACAUUGCGCCCCCUGGUAUUCCGGGGGGCAUGCCUGUCCGAGCGUCAUUACUGCCCUCAAGCCCGGCUUGUAUUGGGUCCUCGUCCCCCCCGGGGGACGGGCCCGAAAGGCAGCGGCGGCACCGCGUCCGGUCCUCGAGCGUAUGGGGCUUUGUCACCCGCUCUGUAGGCCCGGCCGGCGCCAGCCCACGCAGAUCACCCGAUCUUUUUUUUUUUUUUUUUUCAGGUUGACCUCGGAUCAGGUAGGGAUACCCGCUGAACUUAA
Molecule: unclassified non-coding RNA, 322 nt
Filed under: uncultured Eurotiales
Lineage: Eukaryota; Fungi; Ascomycota; Eurotiomycetes; Eurotiales
Description: sequence contains ITS1
Rfam family: 5.8S ribosomal RNA (bases 1-105)
Source: RNAcentral